RNAcentral lists this ribosomal RNA (501 nucleotides) under uncultured bacterium. RNAcentral's name for it is "bacterial SSU rRNA". It matches the Rfam family "Bacterial small subunit ribosomal RNA", at positions 29 to 517 of the family's 1533-position model. The record is from RNAcentral.
AGUGAACGCUGGCGGCAGGCCUAAUACAUGCAAGUCGAACGGCAGCACGGCAGAGCUUGCUCUGUGGGUGGCGAGUGGCGGACGGGUGAGGAAUACAUGGGAAUCUGCCCAGUCGUGGGGGAUAACGUAGGGAAACUUACGCUAAUACCGCAUGCGCCCUUCGGGGGAAAGCCGGGGACCUUCGGGCCUGGCGCGAUUGGAUGAGCCCAUGUCGGAUUAGCUAGUUGGCGGGGUAAUGGCCCACCAAGGCGACGAUCCGUAGCUGGUCUGAGAGGAUGAUCAGCCACACUGGAACUGAGACACGGUCCAGACUCCUACGGGAGGCAGCAGUAGGGAAUAUUGGACAAUGGGCGCAAGCCUGAUCCAGCCAUUCCGCGUGCAGGAUGAAGGCCUUCGGGUUGUAAACUGCUUUUGUACGGAACGAAAAGGACUCUGGUUAAUACCUGGAGUUUAUGACGGUACCGUAAGAAUAAGCACCGGCUAACUACGUGCCAGCAGCCG